GACGAACGCUGGCGGCGUGCCUAAUACAUGCAAGUUGAGCGCUGAAGGUUGGUACUUGUACCAACUGGAUGAGCCGCGAACGGGUGAGUAACGCGUGGGGAAUCUGCCUUUGAGCGGGGGACAACAUUUGGAAACGAAUGCUAAUACCGCAUAAAAACUUUAAACACAAGUUUUAAGUUUGAAAGAUGCAAUUGCAUCACUCAAAGAUGAUCCCGCGUUGUAUUAGCUAGUUGGUGAGGUAAAGGCUCACCAAGGCGAGGAUACAUAGCCGAACUGAGAGGGUGAUCGGCCACACUGGGACUGAGACACGGCCCAAAGUCCUUCAGGAGGGAGCAGGAGGGAAUCGUCGGCCAUGGGCGAAAGUCUGACCGAGCAACGCCGCGGGAGUGAAGAAGGGUGUCGGAUCGGAAAACUCGGUUGGUAGGGAAGAACGUUGGUGCGAGUGGAAAGCUCAGCAAGUGACGGUAACUACCCAGAAAGGGACGGCUAACUACGUG
This 497-nucleotide ribosomal RNA is filed under the name uncultured bacterium. RNAcentral describes it as "partial 16S ribosomal RNA". It matches the Rfam family "Bacterial small subunit ribosomal RNA", at positions 28 to 507 of the family's 1533-position model. The record is from RNAcentral.